Molecule: long non-coding RNA, 191 nt
Organism: Diceros bicornis minor
Lineage: Eukaryota; Metazoa; Chordata; Mammalia; Perissodactyla; Rhinocerotidae
Exons: 3
Source: RefSeq, a predicted model, not a curated record
AAGACCUGCUAGUGAGCUUUCCUGGGCUCAGGUUGUCACCACCUGGAGUCACUGAGAGUGAAGGUUACACCUAUGGAGCCGUGGCCCCGACUACCAACAAGAUGGCCAUCGCUCUCCCUCUCGUCUUGCAGCUUUGGGGCACAACCUGAAGUCCCUCACAGUCAACGUCACCAUCUCUACCCUCCGGUAUU